AUACGGAGGGUCCAAGCGUUAUCCGGAUUCAUUGGGUUUAAAGGGUGCGCAGGCGGGCUUGUAAGUCAGUGGUGAAAUACUGCCGCUUAACGGUAGAACUGCCAUUGAUACUGCAAGACUUGAAUAUGGUUGAGGUAGGCGGAAUGUGUUGUGUAGCGGUGAAAUGCAUAGAUAUGACACAGAACGCCAAUUGCGAAGGCAGCUUACUAAGCCAUUAUUGACGCUGAGGCACGAAAGCGUGGGGAGCGAACAGGAUUAGAUACCCCAGUAGUCC
Molecule: ribosomal RNA, 274 nt
Filed under: uncultured bacterium
Lineage: Bacteria
Description: partial 16S ribosomal RNA
Rfam family: Bacterial small subunit ribosomal RNA
Source: RNAcentral